RNAcentral lists this long non-coding RNA (218 nucleotides) under Elaeis guineensis (African oil palm). RNAcentral's name for it is "long non-coding RNA (EGUI_LNC030860)". The record is from RNAcentral. Lineage: Eukaryota; Viridiplantae; Streptophyta; Magnoliopsida; Arecales; Arecaceae.
GGGGUGAUUUAAUCUUCGAUGAUCUAAGAUCAUCAUAUUUGAUAGAUCGUAGUCCAAUAAUUAAAGAGUCUCGAGUAUCCAUGAAUAACCUAUUUAGUAUUCUAUGAAAAUUCAAACCUACUGACCAUGCAUAUAAUACCAAAACUACCCCUAUCAUAUUUCAUAAAAAUAUAUUUAUUAAUCAUAAAAAAUAUUAAUAUAUUUAUUAAUAUAUUCAA